This is an RNA transcript of Fragaria vesca subsp. vesca, 1987 nucleotides long. It is a transcript of the gene named serine hydroxymethyltransferase, mitochondrial-like, with no coding region annotated. The record is from RefSeq and is a predicted model, not a curated record. Lineage: Eukaryota; Viridiplantae; Streptophyta; Magnoliopsida; Rosales; Rosaceae. The transcript is spliced from 16 exons.
GAUCAUGCCAUAUCUCUGAAAGUCCCUUUGUGGCUAAGAAACGAGGAACUUUGGAUAGGCCUUUCAUGGUGAUGGUUUUGGUGUCACCAUAUGUGAUUGAUUAUGAAACCUCAACUCUAACACCUAGUAGCAGGAGGACAAGGACAAAACCGGAACACAAGAUUAGAAAAGGUUUAGUCUUUCUACCCACCAAAAUCUCACCCAACUGAAAAACUGAACCUGAACCCAGAAGAACCAUGGCGCUGGCAUUGGCCCUUCGCAGGCUUUCCUCUUCUGUGGACAAGCCCAUUCGUCCUCUCUUCAAUGCCACCUCUCACUACUACAUGUCAUCUUUGCCCAAUGAAGCUGUCUAUGACAAGGAGAAGAACGGUGUCAGUUGGCCUAAGCAAUUGAAUGCUCCAUUGGAGGCUGUGGAUCCUGAGAUUGCUGACAUCAUCGAGCACGAGAAAGCCAGGCAAUGGAAGGGCCUAGAACUGAUACCUUCGGAGAACUUCACAUCAGUCUCUGUGAUGCAAGCAGUUGGUUCAGUCAUGACCAACAAAUACAGUGAAGGGUAUCCAGGGGCAAGAUACUAUGGAGGAAAUGAGUUCAUUGACAUGGCAGAAACCUUGUGCCAGAAGCGUGCUUUGGAAGCUUUUCGGUUGGAUCCAGCAAAAUGGGGAGUCAAUGUUCAGCCUUUGUCAGGAUCUCCAGUCUAAUUUUCUAUGUUUACUACUGCAUUGUUGAACCUCAUGAUAGAAUCAUGGCUUCUUGAUCUUCCACUAUGGUGGUCAUCUUUCUCAUGGUUAUCAGACUGACACCAAAAAGAUAUCAGCUGUGUCAAUCUUUUUUGAGACAAUGCCAUACAGAUUGGAUGAGAGCACUGGUUACAUUGACUAUGACCAGUUGGAGAAAAGCGCCACUCUCUUCAGGCCAAAAUUAAUAGUUGCUGGUGCUAGUGCUUAUGCACGUUUGUAUGAUUAUGCACGUAUUCGCAAGGUAUGCGACAAACAGAAAGCAAUCUUGUUGGCAGAUAUGGCACAUAUCAGUGGGUUGGUUGCCGCUGGUGUCAUCCCAUCUCCUUUUGAGUAUGCAGAUGUAGUGACCACCACAACACACAAGUCACUUCGUGGCCCGCGCGGCGCCAUGAUUUUCUUCAGGAAGGGUCUAAAAGAGACCAACAAACAAGGGAAAGAGGUGAGUGUUCAAGAUCACAAUUCAAAGUGUUUUUAUGACUACGAAGACAAAAUCAAUCAAGCUGUCUUUCCUGGGCUUCAAGGUGGUCCACACAACCACACCAUCACUGGUUUGGCAGUUGCACUGAAACAGGCUACUACUCCAGAGUACAAAGCCUAUCAAGAACAAGUUCUCAGUAAUUGCUCAAGAUUUGCACAGUCAUUGAAUGAGAAGGGCUAUGAGCUUGUUUCUGGAGGAACUGAGAACCAUUUAGUUUUGGUGAAUUUGAAGAACAAGGGUAUUGACGGAUCCAGGGUCGAAAAGGUGUUGGAAGCCGUUCACAUUGCAGCCAACAAAAACACUGUUCCUGGAGAUGUGUCUGCCAUGGUUCCUGGUGGCAUCAGGAUGGGAACUCCAGCGCUUACUUCUAGGGGAUUUGUUGAGGAGGAUUUUGCUAAAGUUGCAGAUUUCUUUGAUGCCGCUGUGAAGUUGGCAGUGAAGGUCAAGGCAGAAGCCAAAGGAACAAAGUUAAAGGAUUUCUUGGCAGCAUUGCUUGCCUUUCAGUCUGAAACUGCAAAGCUGCGCCAUGAUGUCGAGGAGUAUGCCAAGCAAUUUCCGACAAUUGGGUUUGAGAAGGAAAGCAUGAAGUACAAGAACUGAGAGAAAUCACGUGUGUUAGGCAUACAUGGUGCCGGCAUCAUCAGAGUUUUCUUGAAUGAGAAAGGAGAAGGAACAUGUCAAGAUGGAGCUCCAUCGAGCUAUAGUUUAUUUAAAUUCAGCGAACCCUGAUGAAUGUAUAUAGAUGUAUCAAUUUGAGGAUUUACAAUGCAAU